This 667-nucleotide ribosomal RNA is filed under the name Lactobacillus sp. oral taxon 418. RNAcentral's name for it is "bacterial SSU rRNA". It matches the Rfam family "Bacterial small subunit ribosomal RNA", at positions 390 to 1048 of the family's 1533-position model. The record is from RNAcentral. Lineage: Bacteria; Bacillati; Bacillota; Bacilli; Lactobacillales; Lactobacillaceae.
AGCAACGCCGCGUGAGUGAUGAAGGGUUUCGGCUCGUAAAACUCUGUUGUUGGAGAAGAACAGGUGAUAGAGUAACUGUUAUCAUCUUGACAGUAUCCAACCAGAAAGCCACGGCUAACUACGUGCCAGCAGCCGCGGUAAUACGUAGGUGGCAAGCGUUGUCCGGAUUUAUUGGGCGUAAAGCGAGCGCAGGCGGUUUUUUAGGUCUGAUGUGAAAGCCUUCGGCUUAACCGGAGAAGGGCAUCGGAAACCGGGAGACUUGAGUGCAGAAGAGGACAGUGGAACUCCAUGUGUAGUGGUGAAAUGCGUAGAUAUAUGGAAGAACACCAGUGGCGAAGGCGGCUGUCUGGUCUGUAACUGACGCUGAGGCUCGAAAGCAUGGGUAGCGAACAGGAUUAGAUACCCUGGUAGUCCAUGCCGUAAACGAUGAGUGCUAAGUGUUGGAGGGUUUCCGCCCUUCAGUGCUGCAGCUAACGCAUUAAGCACUCCGCCUGGGGAGUACGACCGCAAGGUUGAAACUCAAAGGAAUUGACGGGGGCCCGCACAAGCGGCGGAGCAUGUGGUUUAAUUCGAUGCUACGCGAAGAACCUUACCAGGUCUUGACAUCUUCUGCUAACCUAAGAGAUUAGGCGUUCCCUUCGGGGACGGAAUGACAGGUGGUGCAUGG